UACGAAGGGGGCUAGCGUUGCUCGGAAUCACUGGGCGUAAAGCGCACGUAGGCGGAUUGCUAAGUCAGGGGUGAAAUCCCGGAGCUCAACUCCGGAACUGCCUUUGAUACUGGCGAUCUUGAGUUCGGGAGAGGUGAGUGGAACUGCGAGUGUAGAGGUGAAAUUCGUGGAUAUUCGCAAGAACACCAGUGGCGAAGGCGGCUCACUGGCCCGAUACUGACGCUGAGGUGCGAAAGCGUGGGGAGCGAACAGG
Molecule: ribosomal RNA, 253 nt
Filed under: uncultured bacterium
Lineage: Bacteria
Description: partial 16S ribosomal RNA
Rfam family: Bacterial small subunit ribosomal RNA
Source: RNAcentral